This 1477-nucleotide long non-coding RNA is filed under the name Mus musculus (house mouse). Its description in RNAcentral is "predicted gene, 29880". The record is from RNAcentral. Lineage: Eukaryota; Metazoa; Chordata; Mammalia; Rodentia; Muridae.
UUUUUUUUUUUUUGUCAUUUUUAUGCACAUUACUACUACUGCCUCUAGCCAGGUCUUCUCUGCCAAGAGAAGGAAAAGAACAAGAAAAUGUAUUGGUUUUGUGUUUUGCUUUUAACAAUUCUAAACUGACUAGAACUAUAAACUGUAAAGAAUACAGACAAUGUCGGAGGGAAGAGGAGACCUGGCUUCCAUAGUAGAGAGACCUCACGAAGGAGAGCUUCUGACACUCUGAGUCAACCUACCCCUCAGAUGCGUCACCAGCCUACCCGACAUUCUGCAGCUGCCCACAGUGAAAGCUGCCUCUCCACUGUGCCAAGGCUAGACCACACCCAUUAUCAGGAUCCUUGAAGGUGCCAUUGCCUGGGCCAGGAAAGAAUGAACAGAAGAGAACCUGGAAUAAGGCUUUGGGGGAGAACUGCUUUGCUUUCAUGAAUGGUUAGCCAAGGCUGGGUUCUGUAACAUCAUCUCUCGGACUUUGCUGACACUUUUGAAGAAUUCAUAGGAUUUUAUUCCAGCCCCUUGACAUCUCUGAAAGGUCUUCAAGGAGCAGAUUAACACACAGGGAGAAGUUGAGUAUCUGUCUGGCACAGUACAGAGAGAAGUUUGAAGACAGUGUACUUCUGGGUAAAAACUUGUGUGAUCCUGAAGAGCCAUAUUCCUAUCUGACAGACAGCUUCUUCGCGGUCUUGGACUGGCAUCUGCACAUGGAACUUCCUCUAAUCAUGGGAUGGUGGAAAGAAAAUUCCAGCAACCCAACGGCAUCUUGAGCACAAAACUGGACAGUCGGUGUAAUCUCUCGUGAUCAAAGGGUCUGGUGAUUGGAGACAUGAGGACUAGCUACUUCACCUGUGAGACUCUUCCUGACACUAACUUGUCUUGUCUUUGUAUGUGUGAUGUUCAUGUGUCGUGUGUGGUAUCUGGUGUGUGUCUGGUAUGCGUAUGUGAUGUGUAUGGUAUGUGGCGGUGUGUGAUGUGUAUGUGAUGUGUGUGAGGUGUGUAUGUGUGUGUGAUGUGUACGUGCACUCAUGCAUCGAGUGUUCAAUUAUGUACAGGUGCAUCUGUGUGUGCACAGGUGUGCACUGACAUUGCACAUGCAAGUAGAGACCAAAGGACAGGCAUGGUCUCACUCCUUGGGUAGCAUCCAUAUUUUUAAGGAUGUCGAAAACAUUUAUUAAAAUUAUACAAAUAAUCCUUCUCAAAGCAAAAUCUAAUGUAUCUGGCAUUCCUUGAAAACAGCAUCUAUAACUUCUACACAUUUGUCCUAAAUAUUAAACAGUUAUGAGGACAGCAUGUAUAGAAGAGACCCACCAGAGGAAGGCCCAGGGCAGUGGUCUCAACAAGCUGCUUAUUAAUGGCAAUAUUGAUAUGACAAUAGUGAUAUGUAUAUACAAACAUUGAAUAUCAUUUUCAUAACUAUCAUUUCAUUGAGUUGUGACGGUUCAUGGAGAUUUAUAACAUCUACUAAUAAUUCCAAUUU